CCCUUAGAUGUUCGGGGCCGCACGCGCGCUACACUGAAGGACUCAGCGUGUCUCUCCCCCUAUCCCGAAAGGGAUGGGCAACCCGUUGAACCUCCUUCGUGCUAGGGAUUGGGGUUUGCAAUUAUCCCCCAUGAACGAGGAAUUCCCAGUAAGCGCGAGUCAUCAGCUCGCGUUGAUUACGUCCCUGCCCUUUGUACACACCGCCCGUCGCUACUACCGAUUGGAUGGUUUAGUGAGACCCUCGGAUCGGUCCCGACUCGGGGUGGGCUUCUGCCCCGGUCGUGGUUUCGCCGAGAAGACGGUCAAACUUGAUUAUCUAGAGGAAGUAAAAGUCGUAACA
RNAcentral lists this ribosomal RNA (340 nucleotides) under uncultured eukaryote. RNAcentral's name for it is "partial 18S ribosomal RNA". It matches the Rfam family "Eukaryotic small subunit ribosomal RNA", at positions 1470 to 1796 of the family's 1831-position model. The record is from RNAcentral.